This 253-nucleotide ribosomal RNA is filed under the name uncultured bacterium. RNAcentral describes it as "partial 16S ribosomal RNA". It matches the Rfam family "Bacterial small subunit ribosomal RNA", at positions 524 to 776 of the family's 1533-position model. The record is from RNAcentral.
UACGAAGGGGGCUAGCGUUGCUCGGAUUUACUGGGCGUAAAGGGCGCGUAGGCGGACAGUUAAGUUGGGGGUGAAAGCCCGGGGCUCAACCUCGGAAUUGCCUUCAAUACUGGCUGUCUUGAGUGUGAGAGAGGUGUGUGGAACUCCGAGUGUAGAGGUGAAAUUCGUAGAUAUUCGGAAGAACACCAGUGGCGAAGGCGACACACUGGCUCACUACUGACGCUGAGGCGCGAAAGCGUGGGGAGCAAAUAGG